This is a long non-coding RNA of Rhododendron vialii, 500 nucleotides long. RefSeq lists it as uncharacterized. The record is from RefSeq and is a predicted model, not a curated record. The transcript is spliced from 3 exons. Lineage: Eukaryota; Viridiplantae; Streptophyta; Magnoliopsida; Ericales; Ericaceae.
UCUUAUCAAAACAAAAAAAACAAAGAAAGAACCCAGAAGGAGUUCUGUAUUCUCAACGUUAGAGAGAGAGAGAGAGAGAGAGAGAGAGAGAGAGAGUAGCGUGGAGGAAGAAGAAGAGGAGAAAGAGGAAGAAGAAGAAGGAGGAAUUAGGGUUAAGGUGUAUUCAAGCUUAAUUAGGUUCGGAGACGAUGACGAGUACCGCAGCUCCACGUAGGGAGUGACUGCGUUGGUUUUCUUUUUGUUGGAGACCGAGUUUUGCAGGUAUAGGUCGGUGUCCACUACAGGUCACAUUUUGCGUUUUUGUGACUCGCUUGAGAAGUGCGUGGUUGAGGCCUGAGAGAGUCUUUGUCUCCCAGCCCAUAGAUGAUAUUUGCCUAGUUUAGUUUAGUUUUUAAUUUGGAUAAUAGUUGGUUAUGUUUAUUUCUUGACAGACUUCCGCUGUAGUUUGUAAAUGACAAUCAUUUUUGAGAUGUAAAUAAAAUGUGGCUGUUAAACUUUAA